GAGUUUGAUCCUGGCUCAGGAUGAACGCUGGCGGCGUGCUUAACACAUGCAAGUCGAACGGGGCGUGCAGCCGGAAGCCCUUCGGGGCGGACGGGUACACUGCCUAGUGGCGGACGGGUGAGUAACGCGUGGGCAACCUGCCCCAUACCGGGGGACAGCAGCUGGAAACGGCUGUUAAUACCGCAUAAGUGCGCGGUGCCGCAUGGCACGGCGCAGAAAACUCCGGUGGUAUGGGAUGGGCCCGCGUCUGAUUAGCUGGUUGGCAGGGUAACGGCCUACCAAGGCGACGAUCGGUAGCCGGCCUGAGAGGGCGGCCGGCCACAUUGGGACUGAGACACGGCCCAGACUCCUACGGGAGGCAGCAGUGGGGAAUAUUGCACAAUGGGGGGAACCCUGAUGCAGCGACGCCGCGUGGGCGAGGGAGUACUUCGGUAUGUAAAGCCCUAUCAGCAGGGAAGAAGAUGACGGUACCUGACCAAGAAGCCCCGGCUAACUACGUGCCAGCAGCCGCGGUAAUACGUAGGGGGCAAGCGUUAUCCGGAUUCACUGGGUGUAAAGGGAGCGCAGGCGGCGCGGCAAGUCUGAUGUGAAAACCCGG
Molecule: ribosomal RNA, 598 nt
Filed under: uncultured bacterium
Lineage: Bacteria
Description: bacterial SSU rRNA
Rfam family: Bacterial small subunit ribosomal RNA
Source: RNAcentral